This 929-nucleotide ribosomal RNA is filed under the name Cellulomonas oligotrophica. Its description in RNAcentral is "bacterial SSU rRNA". It matches the Rfam family "Bacterial small subunit ribosomal RNA", at positions 58 to 988 of the family's 1533-position model. Lineage: Bacteria; Bacillati; Actinomycetota; Actinomycetes; Micrococcales; Cellulomonadaceae. The record is from RNAcentral.
CAAGUCGAACGGUGAAGGUCAGCUUGCUGACCGGAUCAGUGGCGAACGGGUGAGUAACACGUGAGCAACCUGCCCUCCACUCUGGGAUAAGCCUUGGAAACGAGGUCUAAUACUGGAUACGAGACGCCCGGGCAUCCGGAGUGUCUGGAAAGAUUUAUCGGUGGGGGAUGGGCUCGCGGCCUAUCAGCUUGUUGGUGGGGUGAUGGCCUACCAAGGCGACGACGGGUAGCCGGCCUGAGAGGGCGACCGGCCACACUGGGACUGAGACACGGCCCAGACUCCUACGGGAGGCAGCAGUGGGGAAUAUUGCACAAUGGGCGCAAGCCUGAUGCAGCGACGCCGCGUGAGGGAUGACGGCCUUCGGGUUGUAAACCUCUUUCAGCAGGGAAGAAGCGCAAGUGACGGUACCUGCAGAAGAAGCGCCGGCUAACUACGUGCCAGCAGCCGCGGUAAUACGUAGGGCGCAAGCGUUGUCCGGAAUUAUUGGGCGUAAAGAGCUCGUAGGCGGUCUGUCGCGUCUGCUGUGAAAACCUCAGGCUCAACCUGGGGCUUGCAGUGGGUACGGGCAGACUAGAGUGCGGUAGGGGUGACUGGAAUUCCUGGUGUAGCGGUGGAAUGCGCAGAUAUCAGGAGGAACACCGAUGGCGAAGGCAGGUCACUGGGCCGCAACUGACGCUGAGGAGCGAAAGCAUGGGGAGCGAACAGGAUUAGAUACCCUGGUAGUCCAUGCCGUAAACGUUGGGCACUAGGUGUGGGGUCCAUUCCACGGAUUCCGUGCCGCAGCAAACGCAUUAAGUGCCCCGCCUGGGGGAGUACGGCCGCAAGGCUAAAACUCAAAGAAAUUUGACGGGGGGCCCGCACAAGCGGCCGGAGCAUGCCGGAUUAAUUUCGAUGCAACGCGAAAGAACCUUUACCAAGGGCUUGACAUG